RNAcentral lists this ribosomal RNA (491 nucleotides) under uncultured bacterium. RNAcentral describes it as "partial 16S ribosomal RNA". It matches the Rfam family "Bacterial small subunit ribosomal RNA", at positions 29 to 506 of the family's 1533-position model. The record is from RNAcentral.
AGUGAACGCUGGCGGUAGGCCUAACACAUGCAAGUCGAACGGCAGCACAGUAAGAGCUUGCUCUUACGGGUGGCGAGUGGCGGACGGGUGAGGAAUACAUCGGAAUCUACUUUUUCGUGGGGGAUAACGUAGGGAAACUUACGCUAAUACCGCAUACGACCUACGGGUGAAAGCAGGGGAUCUUCGGACCUUGCGCGAUUGAAUGAGCCGAUGUCGGAUUAGCUAGUUGGCGGGGUAAAGGCCCACCAAGGCGACGAUCCGUAGCUGGUCUGAGAGGAUGAUCCGCCACACUGGAGCGAAGACGCGGGCCAGACUCCGACGGGAGGCAGCAGUGGGGAAUAUUCGACAAUGGGCGCAAGCCUGAUCCAGCCAUACCGCGUAGGUGAAGAAGGCCGUCGGGUUGUAAAGCCCGUUUGUUGGGAAAGAGAAGCAGCAGAUUAAUACCCCGCUGUGCUAACGGUACCCAAAGAAUAAGCACCGGCUAACAUCGU